UCUGUUCGGCAACCAGCAACAAGCACCAUUUUUUCAUUAACAGCCUGUAAAAAUUGUCAAGCAAAACACAACGUUGCCUUACUGAUUUUCUAUUAAUCAAAAUCAAAAGAAAAUUAAAAUCCGAGAAAUAUCAAACUUUCAAACGGACCAAAAACAGCUGUACAAACGCACCAAAAACGUAUUCCAGCGCAGAAAGCACAUUUUAAGCGAGCACAAAGAUGGAGAAUAACGAGGCGCCCGCACCUUCCGGUUCCAACAACAAUGAUUUUCCCAUACUUCCGCCGCCGCCGAAUGCAUCGUCAUCCAACUACAACAUCUACAACGACCCGGCCAACAGCAACAACAAUGCUGCACAGAAACGCCUGCAGCAGACACAGGCCAAAGUGGACGAAGUGGUGGGCAUAAUGCGCGUCAAUGUCGAGAAGGUGCUCGAACGUGAUCAGAAACUAUCGGAGCUGGGCGAGCGAGCCGAUCAGCUAGAGCAGGGCGCCUCACAGUUCGAACAGCAGGCGGGCAAACUGAAGCGCAAACAAUGGUGGGCCAACAUGAAGAUGAUGAUCAUUCUCGGCGUCAUUGCCGUCGUCUUGCUGAUCAUUAUAAUAGUGUCGAUUUACAAUUGAUAAACAAAAGAAAAAGUUAAAGCAAAAGCAAAAAUAAUAUGCAGCAGGGCAACUUGUUGCGCUUAAUCCAAUACAUACGCAUAAUUCUAAGGCUAUCAACAACAUCAGCUACACGUAUUUAGAAACACAUAUACAUAUAUAUAUGUAUAUAUACAUGUGCACACACAGCUCAUCCAUAUGUGUGUGUGUGUGUGUAUGUAGAACAAAAUUUUAGUUUAAGCAAAAAAGAUGCUAAGCGAAAGAUUACUUUGCUAAACAAUCGUGUGUAGUUAAUUUUAAGAGCUAUGGACUUUGCCCAGCAUAACUGUAGCUGUAACUGUAAAUAUACAUACACUAUGUGUGAGAAUUAUGCGCUUUGCCCUCCGGCAGCAGCAGCAGCAGCGAUCAUGUCACAAAAUCCGUGACCGAGGCACCCCAUUAGAUGGAACCCCAACAAGCAAGCACAAGCAUCCUGGAAUCGAAGACAACGAACAGCAACUGUGUGGCAAUUUCUGAUAGAGGACUUGCUGCUGCCUUCUUCGCAUUGGCCUUAAGCGCAACAAUUCAAUUCAAUUUAACACAAUGAAAACUGUGUCUAAAACAAAUAACAAAAACAAAAAUUGCAAAAAAAAAAGAAUGAAACCAACAUAAAACACUUAACACAGAUUGUUAUUUAUAAACAUUUUAAUCUUAAAUGUAAAAAAAAAAAUCACACAUAUGUAUUGUAACAAAUUUGUGUAACAA
Molecule: RNA transcript, 1343 nt
Organism: Drosophila mojavensis
Lineage: Eukaryota; Metazoa; Arthropoda; Insecta; Diptera; Drosophilidae
Gene: Syb
Gene name: synaptobrevin
Exons: 6
Source: RefSeq, a predicted model, not a curated record